RNAcentral lists this long non-coding RNA (1721 nucleotides) under Citrus sinensis (sweet orange). RNAcentral describes it as "long non-coding RNA (CSIN_LNC003243)". Lineage: Eukaryota; Viridiplantae; Streptophyta; Magnoliopsida; Sapindales; Rutaceae. The record is from RNAcentral.
AAAAGUCGAGCUUAAAGUGAAAGCAAAUGUAAGCAUUAAAGCUUGUUGGUUCAAAGCAUAUGCCAAAGAAGAUCCUUCCCCACCAUUCGAACAAUCCUCCUCAACUCACACUAUUUAAGGGCCUCUACAUUCUUUAUUACAUCUCCAAGCUCUGGCUCUUUCAGCUGACCCCGGAUCUUCUUCCCAUUUUCCGAUGGAUUCCGAGCUCGACGACGCCGGCCGCGACAAUGGGUGGAAAGCCAAGAGCAGCGACGAGGAGGAGUAUGAAUAAAUUUGGUAGGUCAUGAUGGUUAUUGCAGCAUUAGGGCAACUAUGAUCUUUGGCAAAUGUACCCUGUGGCUAUGAUUAUGGCUUACAAAAUAAUUAAUCAUCUUAAAUAAUGAAUAUUACUAUGUUUUGUCUAAUUCCUCUCUUCUAUCUUUACUUGUGUGUUCCGUUCGUUUUUGUUUUUUGUUUUUUUUUUUUUCAAAUUCUAGCAAUAGUUCAAUUGAAUGUUAUUCUUGCCUAUGCUAUUUAUUUACCUUUAUAAGAUAUCUUUGACCACCAAUACUUGUAAAAUUUGUGCACUAAUAAUGGCACGCUAAGGCCUGUUUAAGGCCUAAUUGGUAUUUGGUAGCCAUGCUUUGCUUUGAGAGCACAGGUGUUAAAACUUUGGUGAAAACUUCUAUUUAAUAGCAGACAUCAACAUUUGAAUAAGUUGAUGUCGAAAUCUUCAGCGCAUUACUUCCACAAAGAGUACUUUUCACCAACAUUCCCUUGAUAAUCUCCAACUCGCAAAUAGAUAGAUUUUAAUUUGGACAUUAACCUCUCAUAAAUUAACAAAAAAAAAAAAAAAUUGACUGUUACCAUCAAGAAUAAUUUCAUUAUUUAAAAAAAGUCCAAUCAUAUUUCUUCUUUCAACCAGCAGCAUAUCUGAAAAUUGAAUCGAAAAUUUGAUGAAACGGAGGUGCUGUAAAUGGCUUUUGAGUUUUGAAGCAAAUUCUAUAAAUUGGCUGCGAUGAAUGCAGGUGCUUUUAAAUGGCUUAAGCAUGAAGAAAUUUUUGGAAAAUUGGUUGAAUUUUUUGUAACGGCCUUUAGCUUCACAUAAAAUAUAAAAAAAUCUACCCAUAUUCCACAAUUGUAAAAUGACUUAUUUCAUUAAACAAUUUUUUUUUUUUUUUUGGGCUCCAGCCUCCGUUUGCAUUACCUUUGCUUGUCGGAAAAUAAGCACCAAAAGCUACAACCUGACAUUAACAUUGAUCCGAGAGAAAAUUGUGUUUCUUAGCCUUUUUUUUUUUUCCCCCUUUUCUAAUUUCAUUAUAUUUCUUAGCUUAGUUUCACAGAAGCAUCCUCUAUAUAUAUAUAUAUAUUGAUAAGUCCUCUAUAUUCAUUUUAGGUACUAGGUAUUGAUCUCUCAUUUUUCCUAAUUGCUUUCAUAAUUCGGUGCAGAAAAAACUAGGGUUGUUGAACCGACAAUGCAAAGUCAUUAGAGAAUGGCUCAUGCUCAAGACUGUGAGUGAAGUUAAAAGAGUUUUUAUGGGCAUGUUUUAUGUGAAAUUUAUUCACAAUUUUAGCUCUAUAACCGUGCCAAUUACUGAAUGUUUGAAGAAAGGAAAGUUCAAUUGAGGAGUCGAGCAAGAGGUUAGCUAGCCUUUAUUGUAGGAGAAAUUGUCUAAUUGUAAUUUCCCGACUCCCCAAGGGAGGUCCUGUUAUUUUGGAUAUAAAGUCCAUCUCCGUGUGGG